Molecule: non-coding RNA, 2283 nt
Organism: Camellia sinensis
Lineage: Eukaryota; Viridiplantae; Streptophyta; Magnoliopsida; Ericales; Theaceae
Source: RefSeq, a predicted model, not a curated record
UGUGUCUAAAAAUUAAAAAAAUUGUUUAAAAUAUUAAAAAAAUUAGUGAAAACAAAAAAAAAUACAAAAAAUGAAAAAAUAUAAUUUUUUAAAAAAUAAAUUCUGAAAAUUGGAAACAAACAGAGUGUGGAAUUGGUAAAUAGGAUACAACAACAUCUAAACAAUGAACAUAAAAUUCAUGAAGCCCAUCAAAAAAAGGUUUCAUGGUCCAGAUCAUGGGCCUGUGCCCAAAAGGCAGGGCCACAUGGCUACAUUAUCUUUAUUUAUUUUUCUUUCUUCAAUUGGCCAUUUUGUUAUUUGGCAAACAUUAGCACUGCAAAAUGAAUUAAAUUAUUUAAUUUUAAUUUAUAUUUUAUUGGUUAAAAAUUUAUUAGAGAUGUUAUAUAAAUAAGUCAAAUUUAAAUAUAUUUUAAAAUUAUUUAUAUUUUCUAAUCAAGUUCGAACAACCAUUUACUUUCCUGAUAACUUUAUGGGUAAAUUAUAGUUUUAACUUCUAUAGUUUAAUUUAAAUUUUACUUUGAUCUCUAUUAUUUUAAAUUAAACAAUUUAGUCACUACACUCUAAGUAUUUUUUUCAAAAUUUUCAUUAUGUUCAAGUUGAAAGUUAAAAUUAAUGAUUUUUGGGAUACUUAUCAGCCUUCUAAAAUUUACACGUAGAAAAAAUAAUAUAAAAUUUGAACAAAAUGACCAAAUCAAAAAUAAAUUUAAAAUAUAUAGAUUAAAUUAUUCAAACUAAAAUAAUAAAAUAAAAAUAAAAUUUAAAUCAAACACUGAUAAAAAAUAUAAUUUACCCUAAACUUAUAUAUGUACCAAAAGAAAAAGAUAGUCAAACUUUGCAAUCAAACUAUUCAAACUUUACUUCAUUAAAAUUUGUUUGAGAUAAGUGAAAUUUAAAAUUAAUUUAAAACUCAUUAAAAAUUUUAAAUCAAGUUUGCAUACAGUUCUAAUGAACACACGAUCAUUAGUGUUCCGGAAUCAUGAGAUAAUUCCUCCCAAAACCCUAGCCACUUUGCGUACAGUUCAAAAAACCCUAGACACUUCUAGGUCAAUCUUUUCUAAUCAUUGGCCUUUCUUUCUAAGUUAGUCCCUCAAUUAAGGGGCAUUGACCCACGUACACUUUCCACAGUUAAAAUUCCUCUAAUUUCAAAAUAAAAUGCUUAUAUUAAUUAGGUUUAUAUAUUUUUAAUUAUUACUAAAAAAAUUUAUUUUUUAUUUAUUUAUUUUUAAAUUUAACAACGUUGCACAUUUUAACAUCAUCGGAUUUUCGUCAAACUUCUUUUAGACAGCUACCGGAGGUUCACUUGAAUGUUCAACAUUAUCAGAAAAUCAUUCGAGUAUUGCCAAAAAUUUGUCAAAGUAUCGUCGGAGUCUUCUGAAUUUCAUUGAAGAUUGCUAAAAUGCCUAGAACGUCACUGGACGUUAAGAAUAUUGCCACAGACUCACCAAAAUGUUUAGAACAUUAUUGAAAAAAGGAAAAAGAAUAAAGAGCGAAUUAUACUAAUGGCUUCUGUAAUUUGGGACUUGUGUCACUUUAGUCCUUAAUGUUUCAAUUGUGAUACAUUAGACCUUCAAUUUUGAAUCUCAUUCCAAAAAAGAACAGUUGAAGACACUAUUGUUCUAUUUCAAGGCAAAAUUGUCAAUUUGAUAAAAUAUAAAUUAGUUUGACAAAAAUAAAUGUCAAAAAAUUAUUUCUAAGGUAAAGCACCAUUAAAUCCUGAUUUUGGAAAUAUUAAACCAUUUAGUCUUGUAUCUUUUUUUGAAGACAAAUAGAUCCCAUAUCAAUGUUAAAGACUUUGGAGCUCAAGGCAUUUUGAGGUGAAUAUGGACGGUUGUUUCUGGGUUGUGGAUUGUGAUUCUGACGUUGCAGCAAUUCUGGCCACGUGAUUCCUGUGAUUUUGUUGUUGUUGGUUUGGUAAUCUUGAUGUAAAUUAGAAAUUUCACAUUUGUUUGCCGCCGAAAACCCUAGGUAGCUCAAACCCUCGUUCGUAGAAAUACGUUGCAACGUCGUCAAGUUGGGUCUCAUCACCGUUUCGUCCAUCAAUUGGCGUUGAAUCAGACAUCAAGACAUUGUCGGCGCCGGCGAUCGUCGUGGGAACACAUGGCAGCAGGUAUGUAUUGUUUGUUUUUGUGAUUGUGAUUUCUCAUUAGGGAUUGUUGAAAUGGAGUUGUUAUGUUGUAACCCAUCGUCGAUUGUUGAUAUUGUGUACGAUAAUACGUUGAGAUGAUGUUGUGUACCGUGUUAUAUCUUGGUGUGCUAAUGGCAGGACUUUUAUUUUGGGUUUAA